RNAcentral lists this ribosomal RNA (481 nucleotides) under uncultured bacterium. RNAcentral describes it as "partial 16S ribosomal RNA". It matches the Rfam family "Bacterial small subunit ribosomal RNA", at positions 28 to 507 of the family's 1533-position model. The record is from RNAcentral.
GAUGAACGCUGGCGGCGUGCUUAACACAUGCAAGUCGAACGAAGCAAUUUAUUUGAUUUCCUUCGGGACUGAUUAUUUUGUGACUGAGUGGCGGACGGGUGAGUAACGCGUGGGUAACCUGCCUUGUACAGGGGGCUAACAGUUGGAAACGGCUGCUAAUACCGCAUAAGCGCCCAGCAUCGCAUGAUGCAGUGUGAAAAACUACGGUGGUAUAAGAUGGACCCGCGUUGGUUUAGCUAGUUGGUGAGUUAACGGCCCACCAAGGCGACGAUCCAUAGCCGAGAUGAGAGGGUGACCGGACACAUUGGGACUGAGACACAGCCCAAACUCCUACGGGAGGCAGCAGUGGGGAAUAUUGCACAAUGGGCGAAAGCCUGAUGCAGCGACGCCGCGUGAGCGAAGAAGUAUUGCGGUAUGUAAAGCUCUAUCAACAGGGAAGAUAAUGACGGUACCUGACGAAGAAGCACCGGCUAAAUACGUG